AAACCAACUGGGAUUACCUUAGUAACGGCGAGUGAAGCGGUAAAAGCUCAAAUUUGAAAUCUGGUACUUUCAGUGCCCGAGUUGUAAUUUGUAGAAUUUGUCUUUGAUUAGGUCCUUGUCUAUGUUCCUUGGAACAGGACGUCAUAGAGGGUGAGAAUCCCGUUCGGCGAGGAUACCUUUUCUCUGUAAGACUUUUUCGAAGAGUCGAGUUGUUUGGGAAUGCAGCUCAAAGUGGGUGGUAAAUUCCAUCUAAAGCUAAAUAUUGGCGAGAGACCGAUAGCGAACAAGUACAGUGAUGGAAAGAUGAAAAGAACUUUGAAAAGAGAGUGAAAAAGUACGUGAAAUUGUUGAAAGGGAAGGGCAUUUGAUCAGACAUGGUGUUUUUUGCAUGCACUCGCCUCUCGUGGGCUUGGGCCUCUCAAAAAAUUUCACUGGGCCAACAUCAAUUCUGGCAGUAGGAUAAAUCAUUAAGAAUGUAGCUACCUCGGUAGUGUUAUAGCUUAUUGGAAUACUGCU
This 516-nucleotide ribosomal RNA is filed under the name uncultured Hanseniaspora. RNAcentral describes it as "eukaryotic LSU rRNA". It matches the Rfam family "Eukaryotic large subunit ribosomal RNA", at positions 62 to 582 of the family's 3401-position model. Lineage: Eukaryota; Fungi; Ascomycota; Saccharomycetes; Saccharomycodales; Saccharomycodaceae. The record is from RNAcentral.